CCUACGGGUGGCAGCAGUGGGGAAUAUUGCGCAAUGGGCGCAAGCCUGACGCAGCGACGCCGCGUGAGUGAUGAAGGUCUUCGGAUCGUAAACCUCUGUCAGCAGGGAAGAACGGUCACUGGGCUAAUCAUCCGCGAAUUGACGGUACCUGCAAAGGAAGCACCGGCUAACUCCGUGCCAGCAGCCGCGGUAAUACGGAGGGUGCGAGCGUUAAUCGGAAUUACUGGGCGUAAAGCGCUCGUAGGCGGUAUGUCAAGUCAAGGGUGAAAUCCCCGGGCUCAACGUGGGAACUGCAUUGGAAACUGGCAAACUGGAGUGUGUGAGAGGGUAGUGGAAUUCCAGGUGUAGGAGUGAAAUACGUAGAGAUCUGGAGGAACAUCAGUGGCGAAGGCGACUAUCUGGAACAUAACUGACGCUGAGGAGCGAAAGCGUGGGUAGCAAACAGGAUUAGAUACCCGUGUAGUC
RNAcentral lists this ribosomal RNA (465 nucleotides) under uncultured bacterium. Its description in RNAcentral is "partial 16S ribosomal RNA". It matches the Rfam family "Bacterial small subunit ribosomal RNA", at positions 338 to 795 of the family's 1533-position model. The record is from RNAcentral.